UCAGAUCACGUAAAAUUUUAAUAGUCGAACAGACUAAUUAUUCUAGCCCCUUCACCAAAAUUAAAUUUAAUUCAACAUCGAGGUCAUAAACUUAAUUAUCAAUAAGAACUCACCAAUUAAAUUAUGCUGUUAUCCCUAGAGUAACUUAUUUACCUAAUAAAUUAUUUAAACAAAAAUUAUUCUUCUUCAUUAAAAUUGCCCCAAUCAAAAAUAUUCUAUAUUUAAAAGCUUCUAGGGUCUUCUCGUCCCAAGGCUUUAUAAAAGCUUUUUUACUUUUAAAUUAAAUUCAAAAUCAUAUUACAAAACCAUCCCAUCAGUCUCUACCUUUCAUUCCAGUCCCCAAUUAAAGAA
Molecule: ribosomal RNA, 351 nt
Filed under: Taito sp. MZSP 73170
Lineage: Eukaryota; Metazoa; Arthropoda; Arachnida; Opiliones; Cosmetidae
Description: partial large subunit ribosomal RNA
Source: RNAcentral